GGUUAAGCGACUAAGCGUACACGGUGGAUGCCCUGGCAGUCAGAGGCGAUGAAGGACGUGCUAAUCUGCGAAAAGCGCCGGCGAGGUGAUAUGAACCCUUGACCCGGCGAUGUCCGAAUGGGGAAACCCAGUGUGUUUCGACACACUAUCGUUAACUGAAUACAUAGGUUAACGAGGCGAACCGGGGGAACUGAAACAUCUAAGUACCCCGAGGAAAAGAAAUCAACCGAGAUUCCCCCAGUAGCGGCGAGCGAACGGGGAGCAGCCCGGAGUCUGAAUCAGCUUGUGUGUUAGUGGAACGGUCUGGAAAGUCCGACGGUACAGGGUGAUAGUCCCGUACACGAAAGCACACUUGCUGUGAACUCGAAGAGUAGGGCGGGACACGUGGUAUCCUGUCUGAAUAUGGGGGGACCAUCCUCCAAGGCUAAAUACUCCUGACUGACCGAUAGUGAACCAGUACCGUGAGGGAAAGGCGAAAAGAACCCCGGCGAGGGGAGUGAAAAAGAACCUGAAACCGUGUACGUACAAGCAGUGGGAGCACCUUCGUGGUGUGACUGCGUACCUUUUGUAUAAUGGGUCAGCGACUUAUAUUCUGUAGCAAGGUUAACCGUAUAGGGGAGCCGAAGGGAAACCGAGUCUUAACUGGGCGUUAAGUUGCAGGGUAUAGACCCGAAACCCGGUGAUCUAGCCAUGGGCAGGUUGAAGGUUGGGUAACACUAACUGGAGGACCGAACCGACUAAUGUUGAAAAAUUAGCGGAUGACCUGUGGCUGGGGGUGAAAGGCCAAUCAAACCGGGAGAUAGCUGGUUCUCCCCGAAAGCUAUUUAGGUAGCGCCUCGUGAACUCAUCUUCGGGGGUAGAGCACUGUUUCGGCUAGGGGGCCAUCCCGGCUUACCAACCCGAUGCAAACUACGAAUACCGAAGAAUGUUAUCACGGGAGACACACGGCGGGUGCUAACGUCCGUCGUGAAGAGGGAAACAACCCAGACCGCCAGCUAAGGUCCCAAAGUCAUGGUUAAGUGGGAAACGAUGUGGGAAGGCACAGACAGCCAGGAUGUUGGCUUAGAAGCAGCCAUCAUUUAAAGAAAGCGUAAUAGCUCACUGGUCGAGUCGGCCUGCGCGGAAGAUGUAACGGGGCUAAACCAUGCACCGAAGCUGCGGCAGCGACACUAUGUGUUGUUGGGUAGGGGAGCGUUCUGUAAGCCGUUGAAGGUGUGCUGUGAGGCAUGCUGGAGGUAUCAGAAGUGCGAAUGCUGACAUAAGUAACGAUAAAGCGGGUGAAAAGCCCGCUCGCCGGAAGACCAAGGGUUCCUGUCCAACGUUAAUCGGGGCAGGGUGAGUCGACCCCUAAGGCGAGGCCGAAAGGCGUAGUCGAUGGGAAACAGGUUAAUAUUCCUGUACUUGGUGUUACUGCGAAGGGGGGACGGAGAAGGCUAUGUCAGCCGGGCGACGGUUGUCCCGGUUUAAGCAUGUAGGCGGAGGUUCCAGGUAAAUCCGGUACCUUUUAACGCUGAGGUGUGAUGACGAGGCACUACGGUGCUGAAGUGAUAAAUGCCCUGCUUCCAGGAAAAGCCUCUAAGCAUCAGGUAACACGAAAUCGUACCCCAAACCGACACAGGUGGUCAGGUAGAGAAUACCAAGGCGCUUGAGAGAACUCGGGUGAAGGAACUAGGCAAAAUGGUGCCGUAACUUCGGGAGAAGGCACGCUGAUAUGUAGGUGAAGCCCCUGCGGGCGGAGCUGAAAUCAGUCGAAGAUACCAGCUGGCUGCAACUGUUUAUUAAAAACACAGCACUGUGCAAACACGAAAGUGGACGUAUACGGUGUGACGCCUGCCCGGUGCCGGAAGGUUAAUUGAUGGGGUUAGCGGCAACGCGAAGCUCUUGAUCGAAGCCCCGGUAAACGGCGGCCGUAACUAUAACGGUCCUAAGGUAGCGAAAUUCCUUGUCGGGUAAGUUCCGACCUGCACGAAUGGCGUAAUGAUGGCCAGGCUGUCUCCACCCGAGACUCAGUGAAAUUGAACUCGCUGUGAAGAUGCAGUGUACCCGCGGCAAGACGGAAAGACCCCGUGAACCUUUACUAUAGCUUGACACUGAACACUGGUCCUUGAUGUGUAGGAUAGGUGGGAGGCUUUGAAGCGUGGACGCCAGUCUGCGUGGAGCCGUCCUUGAAAUACCACCCUUUAAUGGCUGGUGUUCUAACGUAGACCCGUGAUCCGGGUUGCGGACAGUGUCUGGUGGGUAGUUUGACUGGGGCGGUCUCCUCCCAAAGAGUAACGGAGGAGCACGAAGGUUGGCUAAUCCUGGUCGGACAUCAGGAGGUUAGUGCAAUGGCAUAAGCCAGCUUGACUGCGAGCGUGACGGCGCGAGCAGGUGCGAAAGCAGGUCAUAGUGAUCCGGUGGUUCUGAAUGGAAGGGCCAUCGCUCAACGGAUAAAAGGUACUCCGGGGAUAACAGGCUGAUACCGCCCAAGAGUUCAUAUCGACGGCGGUGUUUGGCACCUCGAUGUCGGCUCAUCACAUCCUGGGGCUGAAGUAGGUCCCAAGGGUAUGGCUGUUCGCCAUUUAAAGUGGUACGCGAGCUGGGUUUAGAACGUCGUGAGACAGUUCGGUCCCUAUCUGCCGUGGGCGCUGGAGAAUUGAGGGGGGCUGCUCCUAGUACGAGAGGACCGGAGUGGACGCAUCACUGGUGUUCGGGUUGUCAUGCCAAUGGCACUGCCCGGUAGCUAAAUGCGGAAGAGAUAAGUGCUGAAAGCAUCUAAGCACGAAACUUGCCCCGAGAUGAGUUCUCCCUGAGACUUUAAGUCUCCUGAAGGAACGUUGAAGACGACGACGUUGAUAGGUCGGGUGUGUAAGCGCAGCGAUGCGUUGAGCUAACCGAUACUAAUGAACCGUGAGGCUUAACCUU
Molecule: ribosomal RNA, 2904 nt
Filed under: Enterobacter hormaechei
Lineage: Bacteria; Pseudomonadati; Pseudomonadota; Gammaproteobacteria; Enterobacterales; Enterobacteriaceae
Description: 23S ribosomal RNA
Rfam family: Bacterial large subunit ribosomal RNA
Source: RNAcentral